RNAcentral lists this ribosomal RNA (434 nucleotides) under Dendarus emarginatus. RNAcentral's name for it is "partial 16S ribosomal RNA". Lineage: Eukaryota; Metazoa; Arthropoda; Insecta; Coleoptera; Tenebrionidae. The record is from RNAcentral.
GGCCUUUUGAGUAUGAUUUAAGGUCUUACCUGCCCAAUGAUUUUUUAAUGGCCGCAGUAUUUUGACUGUGCAAAGGUAGCAUAAUCAUUAGUUUCUUAAUUAGAAGCUGGAAUGAAUGGUUUGAUGAGAAAUUAACUGUCUCUUUAUAAUUGUUUUAUAAUUUUAUUUUUAAGUUAAAAAGCUUAAAUUUGUUACAAAGACGAGAAGACCCUAUAGAGUUUUACGGUUUUAGGAGUAAUUUAUUUGAGGGUUUUGUUAUUAAAUUAUUUUUUGAAUUGUUUUGUUGGGGUGACAUGAAAAUUUAUAAAACUUUUCAUUGGUUUUACACUAAUGAGUGAAUAUAUGAUCCUAUUUUUUAGAUUAUAAGAUUAAAUUACCUUAGGGAUAACAGCGUAAUUUUCUUUGAAAGUUCUUAUUGAUAAGAAAGUUUGCGA